RNAcentral lists this transfer RNA (71 nucleotides) under Microcaldota archaeon. Its description in RNAcentral is "tRNA-Gly". It matches the Rfam family "tRNA". From Rfam's summary of the family: Transfer RNA (tRNA) molecules are approximately 80 nucleotides in length. Their secondary structure includes four short double-helical elements and three loops (D, anti-codon, and T loops). RNAcentral also lists the same sequence under 1 other name. Lineage: Archaea; Nanobdellati; Microcaldota. The record is from RNAcentral.
GCGGCCGUAGUCUAGCGGUAGGAUUUUGGCCUUCCAAGCCAACGACCCGGGUUCAAAUCCCGGCGGCCGCA